Molecule: ribosomal RNA, 253 nt
Filed under: uncultured bacterium
Lineage: Bacteria
Description: partial 16S ribosomal RNA
Rfam family: Bacterial small subunit ribosomal RNA
Source: RNAcentral
UACGUAGGAGACGAGCGUUGUCCGGAGUUACUGGGCGUAAAGGGUGCGCAGGUGGCCGCGCGCGUGGGGAGUGAAAUCGCCUGGCUUAACUGGGCGGGGGCUUUCCAGACGGCGUGGCUUGAGCCACAGAGGGGGGCGUGGAAUUCCGGGUGGAGCGGUGAAAUGCGUAGAGAUCCGGAGGAACACCAAAGGCGAAGGCAGUGUCCUGGGGAGUACCUGACGCUCAGGUGCGAAAGCCAGGGGAGCGAACGGG